This 520-nucleotide ribosomal RNA is filed under the name uncultured Glomus. RNAcentral's name for it is "bacterial SSU rRNA". It matches the Rfam family "Eukaryotic small subunit ribosomal RNA", at positions 569 to 1080 of the family's 1831-position model. Lineage: Eukaryota; Fungi; Glomeromycota; Glomeromycetes; Glomerales; Glomeraceae. The record is from RNAcentral.
AGCAGCCGCGGUAAUUCCAGCUCCAAUAGCGUAUAUUAAAGUUGUUGCAGUUAAAAAGCUCGUAGUUGAAUUUCGGGGUCAGUAGGUCGGUCGUGCCUACGGUAUGCACUGGUCUCGCUGAUUCCUCCUUCUUGAAGAACCGUAAUGUCAUUAACUUGGUGUUGCGGGGAAACAGGACUGUUACUUUGAAAAAAUUAGAGUGUUUAAAGCAGGCAAACGCCUGAAUACAUUAGCAUGGAAUAAUGAAAUAGGACGUUCGAUCCUAUUUUGUUGGUUUCUAGGAUUGACGUAACGAUUAAUAGGGAUAGUUGGGGGCAUUAGUAUUCAAUUGUCAGAGGUGAAAUUCUUGGAUUUAUUGAAGACUAACUACUGCGAAAGCAUUUGCCAAGGAUGUUUUCAUUAAUCAAGAACGAAAGUUAGGGAUCGAAAGACGAUCGAGAUACCGUCGUAGUCUUAACCAUAAACUAUCGACCGACGUAGGGAGUCGGAGUGAUUGUUUUAAUUUUUAUGUACUCUAGUU